CUUACUGAUUUACAUGAAAAAUCAGCAAUGGUACUGAAAGCCAAAAUUAUGGCCUCCAACACUUACAUUCCUCUAUAGAACAUGAGUAAUA
Small nucleolar RNA from Cynocephalus volans (Philippine flying lemur), 91 nucleotides. RefSeq annotates it as small nucleolar RNA snoR8a. The record is from RefSeq and is a predicted model, not a curated record. Lineage: Eukaryota; Metazoa; Chordata; Mammalia; Dermoptera; Cynocephalidae. The transcript has a single exon.